CGGUGCCAGCCGCCGCGGUAAUACCGGCGCCUCAAGUGGUAGUCGCUUUUAUUGGGCCUAAAACGUCCGUAGCCGGUUUGGUACAUUCGUGGGUAAAUCAACUCGCUCAACGAGUUGAAUUCUGCGAGGACGGCCAGACUUGGGACCGGGAGAGGUGUGGGGUACUCUCAGGGUAGGGGUAAAAUCCUGUCAUCCUGAGAGGACCACCUGUUGCGAAGGCGCCACACUAGAACGGAUCCGACGGUCAGGGACGAAGCCUAGGGGCACGAACCGGAUUAGAUACCCGGGUAGUCCUAGGUGUAAACGCUGUGGACUUGAUGUUGGAGGAGCUCCGAGCUCUUUCAGUGUCGAAGCGAAGGUGAUAAGUCCACUGCCUGGGAAGUACGGUCGCAAGGCUGAAACUUAAAGGAAUUGGCGGGGGAGCACCGCAACCUGAGGAUUGUGCGGUUU
RNAcentral lists this ribosomal RNA (450 nucleotides) under uncultured euryarchaeote. RNAcentral's name for it is "bacterial SSU rRNA". It matches the Rfam family "Archaeal small subunit ribosomal RNA", at positions 453 to 903 of the family's 1478-position model. Lineage: Archaea; Methanobacteriati; Methanobacteriota. The record is from RNAcentral.